AAUGAACGCUGGCGGCAGGCCUAACACAUGCAAGUCGAACGAGGCAGCAAUGCCUAGUGGCGGACGGGUGAGUAACGCGUGGGAACGUGCCCCUUGGUACGGAAUAGCCCUGGGAAACUGGGAGUAAUACCGUAUGUGGUCGAGAGACGCAAGAUUUAUCGCCAAGGGAUCGGCCCGCGUUGGGUUAGGUAGGUGGUGGGGUAAUGGCCUACCAAGCCGACGAUCCAUAGCUGGUUUGAGAGGAGGAGCAGCCACACUGGGACUGAGACACGGCCCAGAAUCCUCCGGGAGGCAGCAGUGGGGAAUCCUAGACAAUGGGGGAAACCCGUAUCUAGGCCUGCGGCGUGUUGGAUGAAGCCCUUAGGAUUGAAAAGAUCUAUCAGUGGGGAAGAUAAUGACGGUACCCAGCGAAGAAGCCCCGGCUAACUCCGUGCCAGCCGCCGCCGUAA
This 449-nucleotide ribosomal RNA is filed under the name uncultured bacterium. Its description in RNAcentral is "partial 16S ribosomal RNA". It matches the Rfam family "Bacterial small subunit ribosomal RNA", at positions 29 to 523 of the family's 1533-position model. The record is from RNAcentral.